Molecule: small RNA, 124 nt
Filed under: Marmota monax (woodchuck)
Lineage: Eukaryota; Metazoa; Chordata; Mammalia; Rodentia; Sciuridae
Source: RNAcentral
GCCGGGUACAGUGGUGCAUGCCUGUAAUCCCAACAGCUUGGGAAGCUGAGGCAGGAGGAUGGCAAGUUCAAACCAGCCUCAGCAAAAGCGAGGUGCUAAGGAACUCAGUGAGACCCUGUCUCUA